UACGAAGGGGGCUAGCGUUGUUCGGAAUUACUGGGCGUAAAGCGCACGUAGGCGGAUAUUUAAGUCAGGGGUGAAAUCCCAGAGCUCAACUCUGGAACUGCCUUUGAUACUAGGUAUCUUGAGUAUGGAAGAGGUGAGUGGAAUUCCGAGUGUAGAGGUGAAAUUCGUAGAUAUUCGGAGGAACACCAGUGGCGAAGGCGGCUCACUGGUCCAUUACUGACGCUGAGGUGCGAAAGCGUGGGGAGCAAACAGG
This 253-nucleotide ribosomal RNA is filed under the name uncultured bacterium. RNAcentral's name for it is "partial 16S ribosomal RNA". It matches the Rfam family "Bacterial small subunit ribosomal RNA", at positions 524 to 776 of the family's 1533-position model. The record is from RNAcentral.